CAUAUAAUAUCUAUGACAUAACAAUACGUUUAUUUCCUGGCGGACAAUACGUUAUAAGUCAGUUGAAGGUAAUUCUAUCCGCAGUGUACACGUUUUCUCACUGUUUCUAUCUUGCUAUCUCUUAUAUUCUGCAUGGAUGAUCUACAAGCUUGGUGUCUCGACUACAAGAGGAAAAUUGAGUCAAAGAUACAGCCUCAUCCCUCAACAUACUGCUUAAUUUGGAAUGGUGGGACAAAGUCAUCCUCCCCUUACAGUGUUAUCAACGUCUCGUGGUUCCCGGAUUCCCCCAGUUUACGCGUCGACAGUUCUACGUUCAUAGAGCAGCUUACAUGGUGUAUUCUGGUAGACUAGAUCUACAAAAUCUACAUGUUUGCCAUCGCUGUCACUCUCCCCUCUACCAUCAUCUGUCUUAGGAGACAUAGUCAGUUAACAAGUGAAAGGCAACAGGAGUGUAACAGUCACGGAGACAAGCCAGAUUGUAUUUUUGAGUAGAGUAGGCAAGAGGCUGUGGCUCCAAAGAAGGCGCCAAAGAAGACUGCGAAGGAGAAGAUGACUGUGCAGAAGAGUUCUGCCACACAGAAGAGUAAGAAGGCGAAGAAGACUGCGAAGGAGAAGACGACUGUGCAGAAGAGUUCUGCCACACAGAAGAGUAAGAAGGCGAAGAAGACUGCGAAGGAGAAGACGACUGUGCAGAAGAGUGCUGCCACACAGAAGAGUGAGGAGAAGGAUGCUGCAGAAGAAGCAUCCGCAGUAGAGGCAGCAGCUGAAAAACACCCUUUCAUGCUGUUUCCUCAGUGUCACAUGAAGUAUUCGCACGCUGGUCUGAUUGAUGCGGAGGCUAUAGAUGAGCUGGGUAAGAAUUCAGAUAAAAACAAUAAUACCGCAACGGGUUGACCGACAGCUCUCAGGACAAGCUUGUUGGAAUCGACACAUAACAAUGACAUACCAGAACUGCAAUCGUUUUCUGUGGUCUGUUCUGAUUACGAAAUCUUACAAGUUCUUGUUCCGAUUAUUUUUCUUCUAGACCUUGAUGUCCAUUGGAUGCCCCACAUAACGCCAUACAUAGCAAAUUAUGGUCCAACCAAAUCUUACUGGAUGUACAUAUACGAGAGAAUGAACCAUUUCCUGUCGGAGAGGGCGACAAGUAACAAGCAUCCAGAGGCUGCAGCAGUAUCGAGACUAUGGUGGCCACUUGCCAAACACCCUUUGCUUGCAGCUGGACAACUCUGCAAAAGAAUGCAAGAAUAAGUUCAUCAUAGCUUUCUCUGUGUGGCUUGUAAAGCUCGGAAUUUUCAAAAAGGUACACUUUCACAGACACAAAGACUCUAUAACUUUGUUCUAAGGCUAAUGCAUUGAAUGUAAUACGAAAAUCCAAAGUAAACAUUGUAGCAGGCAUGUAAUGUAAGUUUGCUCUCUUAGUCUUUGUCUAUCAUUUAUAUGAUUUCAAAUUACAUUGUAACACAUGACAGCUGGAUUGUAGUUUUGCAAAUCUUAAAGUUUACAGCCAUUCCUGGGAAAAUUUUUACUUCUUUGCAUUUCCAGGUGACCCUUCUUGGUGAUGAUUGCAAUAUGUGAAAUCAAUAAGCAGUGUACUGACUCAUAAGACUUAAUAUCAUGAUGUAUGAGUUACAUGUACCAAAAAUCUUAAUUUAAGGUUGAUGAUAAUGUGACAUGAAAGGAAUUAUGCCAUCAUUUUACACUUGUUCUUUUCCAUUGAUUGUAGGUCAACCUUGGGUACUUGAUGCCUGGGCAUACCCACGAGGACGUGGAUCAGCUUUUUAGCAGGAUUUCAGUGCACUUGCAACACAAUGAUGCCUCCACACUUCCUGACCUUUCUAGGUCCUGACCAUUAGGUCAAGCUACAGCCCUGAGCCAGAAUGCAGGUACAGUACUCAAAAUGCAUUGUCUAAAUGCUUACAGAACAGCAUUAUUUCUUGACAAAUUAAGAAACGUACAGCAGCAGAGGACCUUAAGAUAUUGACAAGUACUUGGUGAAUUUUACAUUGUUUGGAUACAAAACUUAAAACAGCAACUAACAGAUUGUGAUUCUAAAUUUGUCAAAAAUGCUCAUCUUCAUUGCUCCAACCUGCUAAUUUGCUCUUCACAAUGUUGUAUGCUACUUAAACAGAGGAUUUUCUCACGGAUGAAGUACUGGAGGAGGUACGGACGCCUCCCCCACUCUUCUCCGCGGCAAAAGUCUUGGCGGCGUUGAACUCCUUAGAAGAGAAAGCUAAAGUUGUCAACCAUGUUAACAUUCCGACGUUCACUGCUACGGUGAACGAGACCAAAGUUUAUUUUAGGCACUGACUAUAUGCAAAUCCCUGACAGACGGGUUCGUGUGUCCUUUGGGGGCACUCUACUACUCUAUAAUUGAGGGGCUCCAAUUUAUCCUGGCCAAAUUGGCCAUGAUUUUCAACAGUUCGGUCAACACCAUCACCCAUGCCAAGCAUUUACUGUCUAAAAUCAAUACCACGGGGGAAGGGGCUGGCAGCAAAAAACUCUUCAACGAGCUGCUGGAGUCGUACAGAGAAGAGGAGCAAACUGCUGUUACGAACAGUAAAAUCAGACACAGUACGCAAAGUUCUUGGAAUGGAUCUCUGCUGUCGCAAUAAGCGUUCAGCCUUGUAUACAAAGUCAAUGCUCAAGGAUAAAAGGUCAAUCUACUUCAGUGCGCCCGCCAGAGAUGAGUGGAUUAAUCAAAACCUUGCAAACUUUCAGAUCGGUGAAGACAGAAUGCAGCUCCAGUUUAACGUG
This is an RNA transcript of Branchiostoma floridae (Florida lancelet), 2754 nucleotides long. RefSeq lists it as uncharacterized. The record is from RefSeq and is a predicted model, not a curated record. NCBI's taxonomy places the organism in Eukaryota, Metazoa, Chordata, Leptocardii, Amphioxiformes, Branchiostomatidae. The transcript is spliced from 3 exons.